Long non-coding RNA from Lycium barbarum (goji berry), 672 nucleotides. RefSeq lists it as uncharacterized. The transcript has 3 exons. NCBI's taxonomy places the organism in Eukaryota, Viridiplantae, Streptophyta, Magnoliopsida, Solanales, Solanaceae. The record is from RefSeq and is a predicted model, not a curated record.
UUGAGAGCAAAACAAAGGGGGGGUUUCGGCCAAAGAAGAGGAGAAAAAAAAAAAUUGAAGCCUUCCAUCCUUGGUCCAAAAAUUCAUUUCUUCUUGAAUUCUUACUAAUUUCAAGACCCUCUUCAACGUGAUAUAAUUAUUAGAGCAAGAAAAUUUCUUUUGUGACAAGUGCAAAAAUUCUAUUCAAGUGGAAAAUUGAAGAAAAUAUAUUAGGGAGCCCGAGACUUGAGUCGGGAUUUGGUUAGCGAGCGAUCGAGGUAUAGCCGUUCGUUCUGGUGACCCACCAGUGUAGGACACUUAUUCUGCUAUUUGGAGUACUCCUUUGAUCCGGAGCUCAUAUUUUGGUACAUAUCUUUUGUGAUACAUAUUUCUGUAUAUAUGACUAUUUGGGGGUACGGCGGGGCCCUGUCCCGUCAUAUGUUUCUGUUAUGGUUUGUAGAGGCCUGUAGACAUAUAUGUGGGUCAUGGGUCGUGUUUGUUCGAUUAUGUCUGUGACUUGUGCCUUAAGCGGUCCUAUUUGCUAUUAUGGCCAAACGGCCCAUAUGUUUGUAUAUGUAUGUAUAUUCGGGCGAUGUGUAUUCCGCCAGCCUGUCGGCUUUUGUAUGAUAUUUCUAUCACAGGUGACCGCUUAAGAUGACGGCUGUUCUCAGUAUCUGUGCAAAUAACGUAUGU